This 1531-nucleotide ribosomal RNA is filed under the name Staphylococcus aureus. RNAcentral's name for it is "partial 16S ribosomal RNA". It matches the Rfam family "Bacterial small subunit ribosomal RNA". The record is from RNAcentral. Lineage: Bacteria; Bacillati; Bacillota; Bacilli; Caryophanales; Staphylococcaceae.
UUUAUGGAGAGUUUGAUCCUGGCUCAGGAUGAACGCUGGCGGCGUGCCUAAUACAUGCAAGUCGAGCGAACGGACGAGAAGCUUGCUUCUCUGAUGUUAGCGGCGGACGGGUGAGUAACACGUGGAUAACCUACCUAUAAGACUGGGAUAACUUCGGGAAACCGGAGCUAAUACCGGAUAAUAUUUUGAACCGCAUGGUUCAAAAGUGAAAGACGGUCUUGCUGUCACUUAUAGAUGGAUCCGCGCUGCAUUAGCUAGUUGGUAAGGUAACGGCUUACCAAGGCAACGAUGCAUAGCCGACCUGAGAGGGUGAUCGGCCACACUGGAACUGAGACACGGUCCAGACUCCUACGGGAGGCAGCAGUAGGGAAUCUUCCGCAAUGGGCGAAAGCCUGACGGAGCAACGCCGCGUGAGUGAUGAAGGUCUUCGGAUCGUAAAACUCUGUUAUUAGGGAAGAACAUAUGUGUAAGUAACUGUGCACAUCUUGACGGUACCUAAUCAGAAAGCCACGGCUAACUACGUGCCAGCAGCCGCGGUAAUACGUAGGUGGCAAGCGUUAUCCGGAAUUAUUGGGCGUAAAGCGCGCGUAGGCGGUUUUUUAAGUCUGAUGUGAAAGCCCACGGCUCAACCGUGGAGGGUCAUUGGAAACUGGAAAACUUGAGUGCAGAAGAGGAAAGUGGAAUUCCAUGUGUAGCGGUGAAAUGCGCAGAGAUAUGGAGGAACACCAGUGGCGAAGGCGACUUUCUGGUCUGUAACUGACGCUGAUGUGCGAAAGCGUGGGGAUCAAACAGGAUUAGAUACCCUGGUAGUCCACGCCGUAAACGAUGAGUGCUAAGUGUUAGGGGGUUUCCGCCCCUUAGUGCUGCAGCUAACGCAUUAAGCACUCCGCCUGGGGAGUACGACCGCAAGGUUGAAACUCAAAGGAAUUGACGGGGACCCGCACAAGCGGUGGAGCAUGUGGUUUAAUUCGAAGCAACGCGAAGAACCUUACCAAAUCUUGACAUCCUUUGACAACUCUAGAGAUAGAGCCUUCCCCUUCGGGGGACAAAGUGACAGGUGGUGCAUGGUUGUCGUCAGCUCGUGUCGUGAGAUGUUGGGUUAAGUCCCGCAACGAGCGCAACCCUUAAGCUUAGUUGCCAUCAUUAAGUUGGGCACUCUAAGUUGACUGCCGGUGACAAACCGGAGGAAGGUGGGGAUGACGUCAAAUCAUCAUGCCCCUUAUGAUUUGGGCUACACACGUGCUACAAUGGACAAUACAAAGGGCAGCGAAACCGCGAGGUCAAGCAAAUCCCAUAAAGUUGUUCUCAGUUCGGAUUGUAGUCUGCAACUCGACUACAUGAAGCUGGAAUCGCUAGUAAUCGUAGAUCAGCAUGCUACGGUGAAUACGUUCCCGGGUCUUGUACACACCGCCCGUCACACCACGAGAGUUUGUAACACCCGAAGCCGGUGGAGUAACCUUUUAGGAGCUAGCCGUCGAAGGUGGGACAAAUGAUUGGGGUGAAGUCGUAACAAGGUAGCCGUAUCGGAAGG